GUCUACAGCCAUGCUACCCUGAACAAGCCCAAUCCUGUCUGAUCUCAAAAGCUAAGCAGGGUCGAGCCUGGUUAGUACUUGGAUGGGAGACCACCUAGGAAGACCAGGUGCUGUAGGCG
This 119-nucleotide ribosomal RNA is filed under the name Pteropus alecto (black flying fox). The record is from RNAcentral. Lineage: Eukaryota; Metazoa; Chordata; Mammalia; Chiroptera; Pteropodidae.